AGAUGGAGAGGACGCUCUGCCAUUUAGAGGUCCUACUGAGUGGGCACACCUUUUCCCCUCGAGAAAACCUUGUUUCUACCAGAGAAAUGGGCAGAGGCCUCUCUCUGGAACUUGAACCUCUCUGUCCCUGGAAACAUCCCAAAGCAGGCCCAGCCUGCCAUGUUCCUUUGUUGGGGCACAGAGGGAAUGGAAUCUUACCGAUAAGGUGAGAAGAGCUUGAGAGAAUACCAAGGACGGGCCCACCCUUCUCCCUCCUCCCUCCAAACACCUCAGGCUAAAAGGGGAGGGAAAAAAAAGGCACCAACAAAGAGUUUAAGACAGCAAUUCCCAGCUUUUUCAAAUAUGAAGCAUUUUUUAACCAAUCCGUUUUUUAAUUCUUAAAUUCUUGACAUU
This 393-nucleotide long non-coding RNA is filed under the name Homo sapiens (human). Its description in RNAcentral is "non-protein coding PCBP1-AS1:215". Lineage: Eukaryota; Metazoa; Chordata; Mammalia; Primates; Hominidae. The record is from RNAcentral.